RNAcentral lists this transfer RNA (77 nucleotides) under Candidatus Woesebacteria bacterium RIFOXYA1_FULL_31_71. RNAcentral describes it as "tRNA-Val". It matches the Rfam family "tRNA". From Rfam's summary of the family: Transfer RNA (tRNA) molecules are approximately 80 nucleotides in length. Their secondary structure includes four short double-helical elements and three loops (D, anti-codon, and T loops). Further hydrogen bonds mediate the characteristic L-shaped molecular structure. tRNAs have two regions of fundamental functional importance: the anti-codon, which is responsible for specific mRNA codon recognition, and the 3' end, to which the tRNAs corresponding amino acid is attached (by aminoacyl-tRNA synthetases). tRNAs cope with the degeneracy of the genetic code in two manners: having more than one tRNA (with a specific anti-codon) for a particular amino acid; and 'wobble' base-pairing, i.e. permitting non-standard base-pairing at the 3rd anti-codon position. RNAcentral also lists the same sequence under 2 other names. The record is from RNAcentral. Lineage: Bacteria; Candidatus Woeseibacteriota.
GACCGCUUGGCUCAGUUGGUUAGAGCGUCUCGUUUACAUCGAGAAGGUCGGGGGUUCGAAUCCCUCAGCGGUCACAA